GUUUUUUCCCCCGGUGGGUGUGUAAUGUUACCUUCUUCCUGGCCUUGUUUGUGUCCUAGUCCUCACAGAAUUUGAUAUAUUCUGUGAUGCAGUCCACCAUGCUGCUGAUGUCUUCCCCAUGAGGCUGACAGAGGGCCUCCCAGUCGGUGGACUCAAAGCAGUCCUGCAGGGCCUCCUGUGUCCACAUCCAUACAGGCCUUUUGGACACAGACUGCCGUUGGACAAGCGGGACGUAAUUUGGGCUUUUCCCUGGUUGUGCUGCUUCCAAGUGUGUUUUCAUAUCAAAGCUCUUAUCCAAUCACAUUUAAGCAUUCAUUUGUUGCUGGGCUCAAAGAAAUCUGCCUGGAGGCCUUCACAAUCACUUCUGCUGUCCUGCAGCAUAA
Molecule: long non-coding RNA, 383 nt
Organism: Mugil cephalus (flathead mullet)
Lineage: Eukaryota; Metazoa; Chordata; Actinopteri; Mugiliformes; Mugilidae
Exons: 3
Source: RefSeq, a predicted model, not a curated record